GGAGUUCAACGAGAAGUCCAGCCUGCCGCUAAAGUUUUAAGAGUCAAUUUGAGGUACUUAGGCUUCGUAUUUCGGAUUUAUUUCUCCUGGGAAGUUAUAGAACAGACUAAAUAAUAUAGGAAUAUCGAUUUUUCCCCAAAUUUAUACCUCUGUACAAAGUUGAUUUUUAUCCGACAGUUGUGACAAUGAUUUCUGAAAUUUCUGCAAUUAAUAAACCUUAUGCCGAUCCUGUUUUCGGGGCAGAUUUUGGGGGUUUUGGGAUUUGAAUUUUAAAGCAGUUCCUUCUUAUAAAUCGUAGACAGUAUGGGGAAGUUUAAGGGUAAUGUGAAUCUUGCCUGGUUUGAUCGAGUUUUAAGGUUUGUUUGAAGAGGGGAAACAGGGUAGUUCCAUCUGCAAAUUCUGGCAGUUCAUAUGACUUAUAUUUCGAGACUGUUUCCUAUGCAUUCGAGUCAUAAUUUGAGGUCAGUGUCUUCUCUUCAGUUGUAGAUGAAGACUUUAUAUUCGAUUUGGUAUAUGUGACUUGUCAAAUUUGGAUAAUAUUUCGAAUUAUUAUGAAAUUUCAAAACAUACUGCCAAAAUGAUUUUUUGUCAAAUCCUGGCAGUUUCUGUUAUCAUUUUCUUGGGCUGGUUUAGCUAUGUUUCACUCAUAAUUUGAAAGUGGUGUCUUCAGUGAACUUGUAGAUUUUGUUGUUAGCUUUAAUUUGGUAUAUCAUUUGGUCUGUUUCGAUAUACGUGCAGUUUGUUAUGGUUUUUCAAAUAAGCUGUACCAGAAAUAAUAUUUCCAAAAUUCUGGCAGUUCUGUAAUGCUGGUUUGAGACUGUUUCUGCUAUUUUUGGUUUAGAAUUUGGGACUAAAGCCCUCUAUGAACUCGUAGGAUUUUCUGCUAGCUUUCAUUUGAGGUAUCAUGUGAUCAAUUUGGAUAAACGUGGAACCUGUUAUGAGUUUUCAAAUGAACUGUGGCAGCAUAUUAGUUUUAUUAUUAGGUUGAGAAACUCGUCUAAUAAAAUGAGUUUAUUCUAUGGGUUUGUGGCCCGGUUCGGUAAAUGAAAUAAUUAUGUGUUGAGCUUAGGUGUUGGGUUAUGGAAUUAAAUUAAAUUAGAAUUAAUAAGUUUUUCGGCCUUAAGGACAUAAAGAAAACUAGGAAAUGUCGUAUGUAUAUGAAUUCAUUUAUUAAGUAUUUGGAAACUUAUUAAGUGAUAAAUAUUUUUAUAG
This 1212-nucleotide long non-coding RNA is filed under the name Erythranthe guttata (spotted monkey flower). Its description in RNAcentral is "long non-coding RNA (EGUT_LNC003069)". The record is from RNAcentral. Lineage: Eukaryota; Viridiplantae; Streptophyta; Magnoliopsida; Lamiales; Phrymaceae.